RNAcentral lists this non-coding RNA (111 nucleotides) under Paramoeba aestuarina. The record is from RNAcentral. Lineage: Eukaryota; Discosea; Flabellinia; Dactylopodida; Paramoebidae.
UCAUUGGAACCGCUUGAGGGAGCAAGCGCAAGCCCGAAAGCAGACGAUAAUCUUUUCCUUUGGCAAGCUUGCAUCUUUGGUCCUCCAGAUACAGCAUGGGAUGGAGGAGUC